AUGGACGGCGGCACCACGACAACACUCUACGCCCUGGCGCAGUGCACGCCGGACCUGUCCGCCGGGGACUGCCUGGCGUGCCUCCAGCGGCUCGUGGGCUCCAUCAACGCCACCAACUCCGUGCGCCUCGGUGGCCGGAUCUUCCGGCUCCGCUGCAACGUCAGGUUCGAGGCCUUCAUGUUCUUCGACGACAAGAACAUGCGGCGGAUUCCAUCUCCGUCAUCCACGGCUCAGCCACCGGCGCCUGCGCCGGCUCCGUCAAGCAAGAGACAUGGAGUCAAACCUUGGGUAAUCGCCUUAUCGGUGGCUGCUUCUGUGGCACUAGUUGCAAUCUGUUUCAUCGUCUACUGUCUUCUGCGGCUUAGAACAAAGAGCACAAAAGGUAAAGGGGACUUACAAGCAAAACGUACUCAUGAGUUCCAAGAAGGAGAUGAACAAGUUUGGGAAAUGGAAACAGAGCUAGCCGACUUUUCAGUAUUUGAUUUUAAUCAGAUAUUAGAGGCGACAGAUAACUUUUCCGAGGAAAACAAACUUGGCGAAGGUGGAUUUGGCCCUGUUUAUAAGGGUUUCUUUCCUGAUGGAGUGGAGAUAGCAGUUAAGAGACUUGAUGCGGAUUCAGGACAAGGUUUCAUAGAGUUCAAAAAUGAAGUUGAGCUCAUAGCCAAACUGCAACAUAGGAAUUUGGUUAGGCUCAUGGGAUGUUGCUCUCAAGGAGAGGAGAAAAUACUAGUCUACGAAUACUUGCCAAACAAAAGCUUGGAUUUCUUUAUCUUCGAUGAAGAUAGAAAAGCUCUAUUGGACUGGGACAAACGUAUUGCAAUAAUUGUAGGAACGAAGGACUUCUUUACCUACAUAAGCACUCUAGGUUGCGUGUUAUACAUCGUGAUCUUAAACCAAGCAACAUUCUUUUGGAUAGUGAAAUGA
Molecule: ribosomal RNA, 924 nt
Filed under: Triticum aestivum (bread wheat)
Lineage: Eukaryota; Viridiplantae; Streptophyta; Magnoliopsida; Poales; Poaceae
Description: partial small subunit ribosomal RNA
Source: RNAcentral